CACACCGCCGUCACACCAGUGGGUAGUUGGUUGCACCAGAAGCAGGUUGCUUAACCGCAAGGGGGAGCGCUACCACGGUGUGGUCAAUGACUGGGGUG
This 98-nucleotide ribosomal RNA is filed under the name uncultured bacterium. RNAcentral describes it as "partial 16S ribosomal RNA". The record is from RNAcentral.